This 370-nucleotide ribosomal RNA is filed under the name Staphylococcus aureus. Its description in RNAcentral is "bacterial SSU rRNA". It matches the Rfam family "Bacterial small subunit ribosomal RNA", at positions 196 to 554 of the family's 1533-position model. Lineage: Bacteria; Bacillati; Bacillota; Bacilli; Caryophanales; Staphylococcaceae. The record is from RNAcentral.
AAAAGUGAAAGACGGUCUUGCUGUCACUUAUAGAUGGAUCCGCGCUGCAUUAGCUAGUUGGUAAGGUAACGGCUUACCAAGGCAACGAUGCAUAGCCGACCUGAGAGGGUGAUCGGCCACACUGGAACUGAGACACGGUCCAGACUCCUACGGGAGGCAGCAGUAGGGAAUCUUCCGCAAUGGGCGAAAGCCUGACGGAGCAACGCCGCGUGAGUGAUGAAGGUCUUCGGAUCGUAAAACUCUGUUAUUAGGGAAGAACAUAUGUGUAAGUAACUGUGCACAUCUUGACGGUACCUAAUCAGAAAGCCACGGCUAACUACGUGCCAGCAGCCGCGGUAAUACGUAGGUGGCAAGCGUUAUCCGGAAUUAU